UUUUUACUUCGGUACAUCGGUGACAGGUGGUGCAUGGUUGUCGUCAGCUCGUGUCGUGAGAUGUUGGGUUAAGUCCCGCAACGAGCGCAACCCCUAUUGUUAGUUGCCAUCAUUAAGUUGGGCACUCUAGCGAGACUGCCGGUAAUAAACCGGAGGAAGGUGGGGAUGACGUCAAAUCAUCAUGCCCCUUAUGACCUGGGCUACACACGUGCUACAAUGGUUGGUACAACGAGUCGCAAGCCGGUGACGGCAAGCUAAUCUCUUAAAGCCAAUCUCAGUUCGGAUUGUAGGCUGCAACUCGCCUACAUGAAGUCGGAAUCGCUAGUAAUCGCGGAUCAGCACGCCGCGGUGAAUACGUUCCCGGGCCUUGUACACACCGCCCGUCACACCACGAGAGUUUGUAACACCCGAAGUCGGUGAGGUAACCUAUUAGGAGCCAGCCGCCUAAGGUGGGAUAGAUGAUUGGGGUGAAGUCGUAACAAGGUAGCCGUAUCGGAAGGUGCGGCUGGAUCACCUCCUUUCUAAGGAA
RNAcentral lists this ribosomal RNA (529 nucleotides) under Streptococcus pyogenes. RNAcentral describes it as "bacterial SSU rRNA". It matches the Rfam family "Bacterial small subunit ribosomal RNA", at positions 1012 to 1533 of the family's 1533-position model. The record is from RNAcentral. Lineage: Bacteria; Bacillati; Bacillota; Bacilli; Lactobacillales; Streptococcaceae.